UGGGGAAUCUUGGACAAUGGGGGGCAACCCUGAUCCAGCCAUGCCGCGUGAGUGAUGAAGGCCUUAGGGUCGUAAAGCUCUUUCGCCUGUGAAGAUAAUGACGGUAGCAGGUAAAGAAACCCCGGCUAACUCCGUGCCAGCAGCCGCGGUAAUACGGAGGGGGUUAGCGUUGUUCGGAAUUACUGGGCGUAAAGCGCACGUAGGCGGACCAGAAAGUUGGGGGUGAAAUCCCGGGGGCUCAACCCCGGAACUGCCUCCAAAACUAUUGGUCUAGAGUUCGAGAGAGGUGAGUGGAAUUCCAAGUGUAGAGGUGAAAUUCGUAGAUAUUUGGAGGAACACCAGUGGCGAAGGCGGCUCACUGGCUCGAUACUGACGCUGAGGUGCGAAAGUGUGGGGAGCAAACAGGAUUAGAUACCCUGGUAGUCCACACCGUAAAACGAUGAAUGCCAGUCGUCGGGUAGCAUGCUAUUCGGUGACACACCUAACGGAUUAAGCAUUCCGCCUGGGGAGUACGGUCGCAAGAUUAAAAC
This 530-nucleotide ribosomal RNA is filed under the name uncultured bacterium. Its description in RNAcentral is "bacterial SSU rRNA". It matches the Rfam family "Bacterial small subunit ribosomal RNA", at positions 355 to 900 of the family's 1533-position model. The record is from RNAcentral.